Long non-coding RNA from Hydra vulgaris (swiftwater hydra), 527 nucleotides. RefSeq lists it as uncharacterized. NCBI's taxonomy places the organism in Eukaryota, Metazoa, Cnidaria, Hydrozoa, Anthoathecata, Hydridae. The record is from RefSeq and is a predicted model, not a curated record.
UAUGUAUGGAUUAGAUUUAUUAUACUAACGUCAAGAUAAGAUUUAUUAUGUAUGGAUUAAUUUGUUAAAAAUGGCGUCAAGAUUAUAAUUUGUAGCUUAAAUGCCCAACAAUACAAUAAUUGGAGAUGAAUUUAACUACCUCAAUUUAAAGAUUAUUAUACAUCGCAUUAUUUUGAACAUGGCAGCAAAUUUAUUUAAUCUUAACUAAAAUAAAAAUAUUUAAGUUUUUAAGAUUAAUUAAAAUUUUUUUUUUUUAUUAUUUAUACAUUAAUUAAGAAAAAAAAUUGUUGAAGAGAAUGGAAUAAUCCCAGCGAUCGAUUUUUUUUGCCAAUAAAUUACACUAAUAAUGAUGAAUUUUUCAGUUAUCUUAUCGAGACUGGAUGAAAAGACAAUGUCUUCUGGCAGCCCCGGCCGAAAAUUUUAUGUUAUACUUUUAUAUUGUAAAAACAUUGUAAAAGAUUAUUAUUUUAAUGACGAAAUGUAAAAGAAAAAUAUAUAUAUCAUAAUAAUAAAUAACAAAUAAUAAA